Sinocyclocheilus rhinocerous is the source of this 280-nucleotide long non-coding RNA. RefSeq lists it as uncharacterized. The record is from RefSeq and is a predicted model, not a curated record. NCBI's taxonomy places the organism in Eukaryota, Metazoa, Chordata, Actinopteri, Cypriniformes, Cyprinidae. The transcript is spliced from 2 exons.
UUCAUGAGGAUGAAGAUGAGAACAUUGCUAUGGGCUCCAGCAUGGUGCAAAGCAUUUUGGGAACUGAGCACCAGCACUUGUAUCCUAAAAUCCUCCAUUUGGUGAUGGCCGAUGGAGCUUACCAGGAAGAUAAUGAUGAAUAGAAGUUAUUCAUCCGUGCCGUUGGCAGCCUUGGACAAUCUGCUGGCAGGCUGAAGUAUUCCCAUGAUGCACUCUGACAGGCUGAGGAGGUGCAUGUGGAGGAAGGGGGAUUGAGAGAGAGAGGGGGUAAAAAGAGAAA